Molecule: ribosomal RNA, 479 nt
Filed under: uncultured bacterium
Lineage: Bacteria
Description: partial 16S ribosomal RNA
Rfam family: Bacterial small subunit ribosomal RNA
Source: RNAcentral
GAUGAACGCUGGCGGCGUGCUUAACACAUGCAAGUCGAGCGAGAAGUUUUGAAAAGAUUCUUCGGAUGAAAUUUAAAAUGGAAAGCGGCGGACGGGUGAGUAACGCGUAGGCAACCUGCCCCAUACAAAGGGAUAGCAUUUGGAAACGAAUAUUAAUACCUUAUGAAACUUAACUAGUGCAUGCUAGGUAGGUCAAAGAUUUAUCGGGAUGGGAUGGGCCUGCGGCUGAUUAGCUAGUUGGUGAGGUAACGGCUCACCAAGGCGACGAUCAGUAGCCGACCUGAGAGGGUGAACGGCCACAUUGGAACUGAGACACGGUCCAAACUCCUACGGGAGGCAGCAGUGGGGAAUAUUGCACAAUGGGGGAAACCCUGAUGCAGCAACGCCGCGUGAACGAUGAAGGCCUUUGGGUCGUAAAGUUCUGUUCUAGGUGAUGAAAACUGACAGUAACCUAGGAGAAAGCCCCGGCUAACUCCGUG